CUAAUGAUUCGGGGGGAUUUCCAAGCUGCUUUCGACACAUGUGAGAGAGGUCUGGAGAGCAUUUUAAACGCGGAGCAAAAGGACAGCAGGUAUAGGAAGUUGACGGCUGCACUCAGCAUUGUGGGGAUUCAACCAUUGGCUGAACUAAAUGCGUGCCCUGAGAAAAUACCUGCCAAAGUAAUGCAGAUGUGGUGAGGAAAAUGUAACAUGGUUAAUUUCCAGGUUCUCAUUUCUUCCACCCCAUUAAUAACAGUGCUAUACACUGUAGACACUGGGCAUUGUGGUGAGGUCAGAGGUAUUGCAUUCACAGAGGACCAGAAACAAACAGCACUGGAUAUCAUGGAGAAUAAAGAGAACGUCCGCCAAGAACAAUCCCCAAGCCCUAGUCCCAACCCCAGUCUUGUGGUGGAGCUGCUGGACUUAACACACCUCAAGGUGCUGUGAUUCAGAAACUUGAGGCCUUGCUUAGACUUUUGAACGGAGGACUAUCGGUAGCCAGUGCUGGGUCAUUCCCUAUUCGGAGAGUCUUUCUGGCUGUGGUCCUUCUCUACAUGCUUUUUGUCCGGAUGGAUCCAGCUCAUCCUUCAUCUUUCCCAUGGAUCUCACAGAUGCUGCAGAUGCUGAAGCAGAUGUGGGACGCCAUGUUUGCUCCUUACUAUCGAGCCUGAGCUCAGAGCUAACUGUAAAACCAUACAGCCUGGUGCUAGGAUAUCAGGUUUAAAUUUGACUGAGACUGAAGAGCUCACCAUUGACCAUCUAAUCAUGUAAAUAUUAAUAAGGGACUGAGAUAAAUAGAGAAAUUCAGGGGGGCUUUUGUUGGCAAAAACAAACUUGAGGGGAGGGGGGGGGUGAUGCGUGUUUGGACCAAUACUGGCUGUAUCCAAGGCUGCGAAUGAGUGAUUGGUAUUUGGACCAAUACUGGGUCUAUCCAAGGCUCAGCCAAUCGUUCUCAUAACUAUGGGGGGUGAUUCAUGCCAGAAUUAAGACAUGUGAAGCUACUGAUUCCUCACCAAGUCACCAAAUGUCUUCCUUGCGCCAUAAAAUAACGCCAUGAAUUAACAUGGACUGUCAAUGGAGACACGUAUUUAAUGCGUCAAACUGCCGACUCAUUCACGUCAUGUGACACAUACACGUCAUGUAGACUAGUGUUCAUGUCGUGUAACGUGUCAGUUUGUGUGUAGGUUUAUUUUGAAUGAUCUUACCAUGAACGCCUUAACGUCUACAUGUGUUACGUGUAAUUUUAAGUGUCUGUUUAGUUUAUUAUUCUCACCAUGAUCUCACCUUACAAACGUCUACAUGUAAAUGUUUUUAUAAAAAUAUAUUUUUAAUUUG
Oncorhynchus masou masou (cherry salmon) is the source of this 1332-nucleotide long non-coding RNA. RefSeq lists it as uncharacterized. The record is from RefSeq and is a predicted model, not a curated record. NCBI's taxonomy places the organism in Eukaryota, Metazoa, Chordata, Actinopteri, Salmoniformes, Salmonidae. The transcript has 4 exons.